CUCUUCUUGUAUAAUAUAUGAAGUAUAACCUGCCCACUGAUUUAAUUGAAGGGCCGCGGUAAUUUGACCGUGCAAAGGUAGCAUAAUCAUUAGUCUCUUAAUUAGGGGCUGGAAUGAAUGGUUGGACGAGAUGUGCACUGUCUUAUUUUGAAGUGUAGAAUUUAAUUAUUAAGUUAAAAAGCUUAAAUAUUUUAAUGGGACGAGAAGACCCUAUAGAGUUUAAUAUUUACAUUGAUGUUAAUGGUUUGUAUUAUUUGGUUUAUUAAUGUUAAUUAUUUUGUUGGGGUGAUAGGAAGAUUUAAUUAACUCUUUUUUUUGUUUAAUAUAGAUAUAUAGAAUUGUUGAUCCAUUCAUAUUGAUUAUAAGACUAAAUUACCUUAGGGAUAACAGCGUAAUCUUUUUUGAGAGUUCAAAUCGACAAAAGGGGUUGCGA
RNAcentral lists this ribosomal RNA (433 nucleotides) under Haplosymploce aurantiaca. RNAcentral's name for it is "partial 16S ribosomal RNA". It matches the Rfam family "Archaeal large subunit ribosomal RNA", at positions 1908 to 2592 of the family's 2987-position model. The record is from RNAcentral. Lineage: Eukaryota; Metazoa; Arthropoda; Insecta; Blattodea; Blattellidae.